This 253-nucleotide ribosomal RNA is filed under the name uncultured Gemmatimonas sp. RNAcentral's name for it is "partial 16S ribosomal RNA". It matches the Rfam family "Bacterial small subunit ribosomal RNA", at positions 524 to 776 of the family's 1533-position model. The record is from RNAcentral. Lineage: Bacteria; Pseudomonadati; Gemmatimonadota; Gemmatimonadia; Gemmatimonadales; Gemmatimonadaceae.
UACAGAGGGUGCGAGCGUUGUCCGGAAUCACUGGGCGUAAAGGGCGCGUAGGUGGCGACCCAAGUCUGUGGUGAAAGCUCGACGCUCAACGUCGAGUCGGCCAUAGAUACUGGGUUGCUUGAGCACUGUAGAGGCAGAUGGAAUUCCGGGUGUAGCGGUGGAAUGCGUAGAGAUUCGGAAGAACACCGGUGGCGAAGGCGGUCUGCUGGGCAGUUGCUGACACUGAGGCGCGACAGCGUGGGGAGCAAACAGG